Molecule: non-coding RNA, 183 nt
Filed under: Lysobacteraceae bacterium
Lineage: Bacteria; Pseudomonadati; Pseudomonadota; Gammaproteobacteria; Lysobacterales; Lysobacteraceae
Also listed under: 4 other names
Description: 6S RNA
Rfam family: 6S / SsrS RNA
About the family: E. coli 6S RNA was the first non coding RNA to be sequenced, but its function was unknown until recently.
Source: RNAcentral
UGUCCUCUGCUGUGAGCGACGGCGCGCGCAACAUUCGCCUUGUCCCUUAAUGACGACCACGGGGACGCAUUGGUUGCCGGGAGUGCAAGUCCGCUUCAUGCGGAAAGCCCAAUGGCCGCCACGCGUUCCCACUUGAACCCCGGGUUCAAGGUCGUUUCGCUCGCAUCGCCACAGCGGAGACAU